CCUACGGGAGGCAGCAGUGAGGAAUAUUGGUCAAUGGGCGAGAGCCUGAACCAGCCAUGUCGCGUGCAGGAUGAAGGCUCUAUGGUUUGUACACUUCUUUUAUACGGGGAUAAAGUUAGGAACGUGUUUCUAUUUGUAUGUACCAUACGAAUAAGCAUCGGCUAACUCCGUGCCAGCAGCCGCGGUAAUACGGAGGAUGCGAGCGUUAUCCGGAUUUAUUGGGUUUAAAGGGUGCGUAGGUGGAUAAAUAAGUCAGCGGUGAAAGUUUGUGGCUUAACCAUAAAAUUGCCUUUGAUACUGGUUAACUAGAGAAUAGUUGAGGUAGGCGGAAUGUGUGGUGUAGCGGUGAAAUGCAUAGAGAUCAUGCAGAACACCGAUUGCGAAGGCAGCUUACUAAUCUAUAUCUGACGCUGAGGCACGAAAGCGUGGGGAGCAAACAGGAUUAGAUACCCUUGUAGUC
This 460-nucleotide ribosomal RNA is filed under the name uncultured bacterium. Its description in RNAcentral is "partial 16S ribosomal RNA". It matches the Rfam family "Bacterial small subunit ribosomal RNA", at positions 338 to 795 of the family's 1533-position model. The record is from RNAcentral.